AGGAAUCCCCUAGGAAGAACGUGAUAGAGCCUCAUCCUAAUCCGUCUCAAUCUUGCUAAACCAUCAGUUAAAGGCAUCAUGAUGAUUCAAGUUAAUAACCUAUAACUUCUCCAUGUCAUCCAACACAAGUAACACCAUUAUACUGGAUAUUCUUUAAGACUGUCUCACUCGUAAUCCCUACUUCAUUCAUAUGCUUUGCC
This 200-nucleotide long non-coding RNA is filed under the name Gossypium barbadense (sea-island cotton). Its description in RNAcentral is "long non-coding RNA (GBAR_LNC011853)". Lineage: Eukaryota; Viridiplantae; Streptophyta; Magnoliopsida; Malvales; Malvaceae. The record is from RNAcentral.